AUCCUGCUCCGUUGCCUUCAACAUGGCCGCCGAACUCACUGUUGGUAACUCUAAUGCUGCCACCCUGUUAAGUUCCUUCUCUAUUGCCACUCUGCCAAAGCCUCUUCUUCCAAUUGCAUUUCUAUUAGAUUACGUUGUUGAGGCUUUAGAAGAAAUUAUGCAAAAGCUUGGAAAGCGAUAUCCUUUUAGCUAACAAGAUCAUGAAUAGAAAAAAGAGCCCAGUGGGUGGUACC
RNAcentral lists this long non-coding RNA (233 nucleotides) under Elaeis guineensis (African oil palm). RNAcentral describes it as "long non-coding RNA (EGUI_LNC012259)". Lineage: Eukaryota; Viridiplantae; Streptophyta; Magnoliopsida; Arecales; Arecaceae. The record is from RNAcentral.